CACACACACACACUUACGCACGCACGCGCGCCCGCACGCACUCGUUUUCACCACGUUCAGUUUUUCCAUCACGGAGCGAAUUGGUGAAGAAUUGCCGGGCCACUUGGUCUACCCACUUCCCGUGAGCCGUAUACACGAAACCGAGUGGAAAAAGGGGCGAGCUUUUUUUGCUCCUCCGCGCUAACUUUGCCGUAGACCAUGGUGCGAGCGCCGGAGCACGUGACCCGAGCUGAUCCGCCGGUUUUGUUAGGGUGGAGGAUUUCUGGGUUUGUGUACAUAAGGUCGUGUGCUUGUGUGUUUUAUUCUCUCUCUCUCUCUCUCUCUCUCUCUCUCUCUCUCUCUUUACUCCAAGUGCCACCGCUCCGCCUCCUCUUUUCGCAACAUUGACGCAAUGUAUAAAUGCUGGAACAAAAGGACAACUUCCUUGAAGCUUGGCGUAUAAUUGCAAAAAAAAAGAGAGAGAGAGAGAGAGAGAGAGACAGAGAGAGAGAGAGAGUGAGAGAGUAAAGGAGAGAGAGAGAGAGAGAGAGAGAGAGAGAGAGAGAUACAGCCGCCUCGACUGGCGCGCGCUAACCGGAGCCCGGUGUGUGCCAGUUUGCUGGAAUAUUAUUUGUGAUUUUGAUGUGCUCUCCUGUGCACAUUACGAUGUGAUGGGAAUCCUAUAGCGCUGCUAUCCACCGCUGAAAACAAUUAAAGUAAACGGUUACACACACAAUUCCAGCUAAAGACAACGGCGUAUCUGAAUAAUGCCAUGGAUUGGAAGCCCCGGUCUGUCCGGUUGCGCGCGCGGGCGAGCGAGCGCGUCUGUGUUUUCGGUCGCGCGCGAGUGCGUUUGCGCGUGCGCGCGCUCACACGCGCGGGGGGCCUGGCGGUGCCGUAGCAGCACAGAAUGGUUUGUGAGUUUUUUUAAAAAGAGGGUGCAGGCCGUGCUGUGCUGCGGCAGCAACGCCGGGACAAGCGCGCUUCCGAAUCAAAAGGAAAGUAUGCAAAACGGUAGCUUUGUGAACGUCACUCUGACUCUCUGUGCGCGUGGGGGGGGGGG
Long non-coding RNA from Ictalurus punctatus (channel catfish), 1042 nucleotides. RefSeq lists it as uncharacterized. NCBI's taxonomy places the organism in Eukaryota, Metazoa, Chordata, Actinopteri, Siluriformes, Ictaluridae. The record is from RefSeq and is a predicted model, not a curated record. The transcript is spliced from 3 exons.